Maylandia zebra (zebra mbuna) is the source of this 843-nucleotide non-coding RNA. NCBI's taxonomy places the organism in Eukaryota, Metazoa, Chordata, Actinopteri, Cichliformes, Cichlidae. The record is from RefSeq and is a predicted model, not a curated record.
UAGAAGUCCUCAUAUGGUAGGACCAGUGAUUGUAGUGUGUGUUACACUGUCCUCAUAUUGUUUUAAGCUGUGAAGGACAGGAGUGUGUUUCAGUUGCCUUCCUCAUGUGGUAGGACCAACAACUCUAGUGUGUGUUACACUGUCCUCAUAUCGUUGGGUAGCAGAACCGUACAGUGUUAAGUUUCUAUAGAAUCUGGUAUAAGGAAGUCAGAUCCUUCUGUAAUAAUAUUCACUGAUACAAAUAUGAUCUGUAGUUAAUUAAAUAGUCGGGAUUUAUACUAGAGAAUGUUUCUGACGUUAUAUUGUUGUCUUUUGUUGCAGACACCAAGUGCCGAGGUCCUGUCUCAACCUCCUUCAGACCAAUUGGCUCAAGGACCAAGUAUUCCGGGGGUUCCAAGCCACACGCUUUACUCAGCUGCCCUGGACAACAUGAAGGGCACCUCUGCCUCAAUCACCCUGGACAACAAAAACAUUAGCAACACUUCACCAAGAAGGGCUGGGACGGUGAGAAGCAAGUGGACAAAUGAUGAAGUGAAGGUUGCUGAGCGGCACGUUUCACUUCAUAAAAAGCUGCAAAGUACCAGGUAAAAAGGAAUGUGACUGCUGCCUCCAAGCAGAGCCGGCAGCUCUGAAAGGCAGAGACUGGGUUGUCAUAAGGUACUACAGCCACAACAGGAUCAUAGCAUUAAAAGAAAGAUGCAAGAAAAAAAGAAGCAAGCAAGAGAGAUACUUUGUUACUUCCACAGUUAUGUCAGUAUUGCAGUUUUCUGUAUUGCAUUGUUCUUACUCAUAAAUCUGUGGUUUAUGCUGGGUGCUUUUUGCAAUUAAAUGAUAAAAAAGGCA